GAUGAACGCUGGCGGCGUGCCUAAUACAUGCAAGUCGAGCGAACGGACGAGAAGCUUGCUUUUCUGAUGUUAGCGGCGGACGGGUGAGUAACACGUGGAUAACCUACCUAUAAGACUGGGAUAACUUCGGGAAACCGGAGCUAAUACCGGAUAAUAUUUUGAACCGCAUGGUUCAAAAUUGAAAGACGGUCUUGCUGUCACUUAUAGAUGGAUCCGCGCUUCAUUAGCUAGUUGGUAAGGUAACGGCUUACCAAGGCAACGAUGCAUAGCCGACCUGAGAGGGUGAGCGGCCACACUGGAACUGAGACACGGUACAGACUCCUACGGGAGGCAGCAGUAGGGAAUCUUCCGCAAUGGGCGAAAGCCUGACGGAGCAACGCCGCGUGAGUGAUGAAGGUCUUCGGAUCGUAAAACUCUGUUAUUAGGGAAGAACAUAUGUGUAAGUAACUGUGCACAUCUUGACGGUACCUAAUCAGAAAGCCACGGCUAACUACGUG
RNAcentral lists this ribosomal RNA (497 nucleotides) under uncultured bacterium. RNAcentral describes it as "partial 16S ribosomal RNA". It matches the Rfam family "Bacterial small subunit ribosomal RNA", at positions 28 to 507 of the family's 1533-position model. The record is from RNAcentral.